Molecule: long non-coding RNA, 270 nt
Organism: Caenorhabditis elegans
Lineage: Eukaryota; Metazoa; Nematoda; Chromadorea; Rhabditida; Rhabditidae
Gene: linc-97
Product: ncRNA
Source: Ensembl
UUGAAAAUAUUUACACUUUUAUGGGCAGUGAACUAUUUUUCAACUGUACGAAAAUUUCAUGUUCGCAGGAAUAUUCUUACAAUUAGUCCCGCCAAUCCUAAAGUCCUUCCUGCUCGGUUCCCCUUGCAGAGAUGCGACCUGUCAUUUCCAUGUAAUGCGCAAUCAAAGGUCAAUGGGUAUCUGGUUUCACAACUGUAUCAUCAACUCAUCCUGACACAUUUUGGGUGUCGAUUACGUUUAUUGCUCAUCCCUUCUUCUAAUAAAUGUUGA